UACGUAGGGAGCGAGCGUUAUCCGGAAUUAUUGGGUGUAAAGGGUGCGUAGACGGGAAUACAAGUUAGUUGUGAAAUCCCUCGGCUUAACUGAGGAACUGCAACUAAAACUAUAUUUCUUGAGUGCAGGAGAGGUAAGUGGAAUUCCUAGUGUAGCGGUGAAAUGCGUAGAUAUUAGGAGGAACACCAGUGGCGAAGGCGACUUACUGGACUGUAACUGACGUUGAGGCACGAAAGUGUGGGGAGCAAACA
RNAcentral lists this ribosomal RNA (251 nucleotides) under uncultured bacterium. Its description in RNAcentral is "partial 16S ribosomal RNA". It matches the Rfam family "Bacterial small subunit ribosomal RNA", at positions 524 to 774 of the family's 1533-position model. The record is from RNAcentral.